UAUAACUCCAUGUGGACAAGGACUUGUCCACUUCAUCACUGAGGUGUCCCCACCACCAAGCACAAUGCCUGGUACAGGCAACGCUUGCUUCAAAUGAAACCUCACCAGGAAGGCAAAUGAGCCCACCAGACCAACACCAGUGUGCUCGGUCAAGAUGAAGAUCCUGAAGCAGAGAGAUGUCGACAGACCAUUUGCUCAAGCAGCCCUACCCCUGAAGAUGUAUUUAAAGAAUCGGACAGAUAAUUAUUUGUGUAUGGGGGACACAGCUUAGUACUAAAAUGCUAGUCAAAAAUUGCAUGUAAAUUGGAAGGAGAGUGAUUUAAAUUAAGGAGUUCAGGGGUCCUCAUAUUUGUCAGGAGGAGGAAAUAAAUUAACUUUAGGAUUUAUUAAG
Myotis daubentonii (Daubenton's bat) is the source of this 391-nucleotide long non-coding RNA. RefSeq lists it as uncharacterized. The record is from RefSeq and is a predicted model, not a curated record. NCBI's taxonomy places the organism in Eukaryota, Metazoa, Chordata, Mammalia, Chiroptera, Vespertilionidae. The transcript has 3 exons.